RNAcentral lists this ribosomal RNA (762 nucleotides) under uncultured Halobacteria archaeon. RNAcentral's name for it is "bacterial SSU rRNA". It matches the Rfam family "Archaeal small subunit ribosomal RNA", at positions 524 to 1284 of the family's 1478-position model. The record is from RNAcentral. Lineage: Archaea; Methanobacteriati; Methanobacteriota; Halobacteria.
GCUGGCCGCGCAAGUCCAUCGGGAAAUCCACCUGCUCAACAGGUGGGCGCCCGGUAGAAACUGCGUGGCUUGGGACCGGGAGGCGCGACGGGUACGUCCGGGGUAGGAGUGAAAUCCCGUAAUCCUGGACGGACCGCCGAUGGCGAGAGCACGUCGCGAGAACGGAUCCGACAGUGAGGGACGAAAGCCAGGGUCUCGAACCGGAUUAGAUACCCGGGUAGUCCUGGCCGUAAACAAUGUCUGCUAGGUGUGGCUCCCACUACGAGUGGGUGCUGUGCCGUAGGGAAGCCGCUAAGCAGACCGCCUGGGAAGUACGUCCGCAAGGAUGAAACUUAAAGGAAUUGGCGGGGGAGCACUACAACCGGAGGAGCCUGCGGUUUAAUUGGACUCAACGCCGGACAUCUCACCAGCAUCGACUGUAAUAAUGACGAUCAGGUUGAUGACCUUAUCCGAGUUUCAGAGAGGAGGUGCAUGGCCGCCGUCAGCUCGUACCGUGAGGCGUCCUGUUAAGUCAGGCAACGAGCGAGACCCGCAUCCUUACUUGCCAGCAGUACCGCGAGGUAGCUGGGGACAGUAGGGAGACCGCCGUGGCUAACACGGAGGAAGGAACGGGCAACGGUAGGUCAGUAUGCCCCGAAUGUGCUGGGCAACACGCGGGCUACAAUGGUCGAGACAAAGGGUUCCAACUCCGAAAGGAGACGGUAAUCUCAGAAACUCGAUCGUAGUUCGGAUUGUGGGCUGCAACUCGCCCACAUGAAGCUG